CUUACAUGUCACGUGACCAUGUGACGUAACAAGGUCCUUCUGGUGCAUGGAGGUUGGACACGAUGGUUAGUGGCCGGUGGUGCUGGUGGAGGUUCCUACAAUACAGGAUCCACUCAGUGGAUAUCUUCUAUAUAAGAUCCUUCUUCUGAUUGACCCAUCAAGAAUGGAUAGGGACAGGAACAAGAUGGCGGAGAGUAUAAUAAAUCUCACCCUAGAGAUCCUCUUCCGGCUUACUGGAGAGGACUACACAGUAGUGAAGAAGACCUCUAGUGAGCGCUGUCAGACCCCUGUGUCUGAAGCACGGGGAAGAACCCUGAGCCCAAUCACGGGGCCUCCACCUCACCCCCUGAUACAUGAGGAAAUCAAUAGAGAGAAGAUCCUAAAGCUCACCAAUAGGAUGAUUGAGCUGCUGACUGAAGAGGUGGGAAUGCUGGGACAUUAUAAAGGAAUUCUAUGAAGGGAUCUGGGCGAUGACUGUAUGAUUGUGUUGUCAGGUUCCUAUAAGGUGUCAGGAUGUCACAAUCCAUUUUUCCAUGGAGGAGUGGGAGUAUUUAGAAGGGCACAAAGAUCUGUACAAGGACGUCAU
Molecule: RNA transcript, 586 nt
Organism: Bufo bufo (common toad)
Lineage: Eukaryota; Metazoa; Chordata; Amphibia; Anura; Bufonidae
Gene name: oocyte zinc finger protein XlCOF29-like
Exons: 3
Source: RefSeq, a predicted model, not a curated record